CAGGUUUAUAAAUUAGUUU
This 19-nucleotide small nuclear RNA is filed under the name Arabidopsis thaliana (thale cress). RNAcentral describes it as "snRNA_10951". The record is from RNAcentral. Lineage: Eukaryota; Viridiplantae; Streptophyta; Magnoliopsida; Brassicales; Brassicaceae.